This 75-nucleotide transfer RNA is filed under the name Roseburia sp. CAG:100. It matches the Rfam family "tRNA". From Rfam's summary of the family: Transfer RNA (tRNA) molecules are approximately 80 nucleotides in length. The record is from Rfam by way of RNAcentral. RNAcentral also lists the same sequence under 4 other names. Lineage: Bacteria; Bacillati; Bacillota; Clostridia; Lachnospirales; Lachnospiraceae.
CGGGGUGUGGCUCAGCUUGGCUAGAGCGCCUGCUUUGGGAGCAGGAGGUCGCAGGUUCGAAUCCUGUCACCCCGA